UAGUUUCGACAGUCGUUCAACUUAUAUGUAGUUGAUGCUGUUUAUUAGUAGGACCAUGAAUCGUGCUAUUAAUGUGUUGCUUUUCUCUUCCUUUUGUUUCAUACUUAUAUAUUGCUUAUAUAUUAUCUGUUAAUUGCUACUAACAUUUUGUUUGUCUAGUGCAUAGAGAUGCCGUCAUAUGUCGUGUACAAGGGUGAGGUUCCCGGAGUCUACGACGACUGGGAGGAGUGUCGGAGACAGGUUCACCGUUUCAGCGGUAACAGUUACAAAGGGUACUCCACUAGGGCGAAGGCCGAAGCUAGAUGUGCGCGCUAUCUAGCGAGAGAGAGGAGGGAGCGGAGGAGGAACCGGAUAAAGAUCAGUUUCAUCGCAAUGAUGCUCAUUGUGACCGCAACCCUCUUCAAUGUAAUGGUAGUUUAGAUAUCGACUUGUAAUGUGAAGACAAACUCGCUACUCGCGGUCUCGAGACUUGUAAUGUUCUAACUUUGUUCAUUAUUUUGAAUUCGGAGACUAAUAUGAUGAAUUGUAUUCGGAGACUAAUCUUUUAUUGUAUUCGAUAAAUCUGUUGUUUAUAUUCUGUGCUAUAAUGUAUUUUGCAUCGUGUGUAAAUA
RNAcentral lists this long non-coding RNA (611 nucleotides) under Hordeum vulgare. Its description in RNAcentral is "long non-coding RNA (HVUL_LNC000402)". The record is from RNAcentral. Lineage: Eukaryota; Viridiplantae; Streptophyta; Magnoliopsida; Poales; Poaceae.